RNAcentral lists this ribosomal RNA (748 nucleotides) under uncultured bacterium. Its description in RNAcentral is "bacterial SSU rRNA". It matches the Rfam family "Bacterial small subunit ribosomal RNA", at positions 8 to 748 of the family's 1533-position model. The record is from RNAcentral.
AGAGUUUGAUUAUGGCUCAGAUUGAACGCUGGCGGCAGGCUUAACACAUGCAAGUCGAGCGGAAACGAAGGUAGCUUGCUACCAGGCGUCGAGCGGCGGACGGGUGAGUAAUGCUUAGGAAUCUACCGAGUAGUGGGGGAUAGCCAUUGGAAAUGAUGAUUAAUACCGCAUAUAUCCUACGGGGGAAAGCAGGGGACCUUCGGGCCUUGCGCUAUUCGAUGAGCCUGAGUGAGAUUAGCUAGUUGGUGGGGUAAAGGCCUACCAAGGCGACGAUCUCUAGCUGGUCUGAGAGGAUGAUCAGCCACACUGGGACUGAGACACGGCCCAGACUCCUACGGGAGGCAGCAGUGGGGAAUAUUGCACAAUGGACGAAAGUCUGAUGCAGCCAUGCCGCGUGUGUGAAGAAGGCCUUCGGGUUGUAAAGCACUUUCAGCGAGGAGGAAAGGUCAGUAAGUAAUAUUUGCUGGCUGUGACGUUACUCGCAGAAGAAGCACCGGCUAAUUUAGUGCCAGCAGCCGCGGUAAUACUAAAGGUGCAAGCGUUAAUCGGAAUUACUGGGCGUAAAGCGCGCGUAGGUGGUUUGUUAAGUUGGAUGUGAAAGCCCAGGGCUCAACCUUGGAACUGCAUUCAAAACUGACUCACUAGAGUACGAGAGAGGUUAGUGGAAUUUCCUGUGUAGCGGUGAAAUGCGUAGAGAUGGGAAGGAACACCAGUGGCGAAGCGACUGACUGGCUCGAUACUGACACUG